RNAcentral lists this ribosomal RNA (305 nucleotides) under uncultured bacterium. Its description in RNAcentral is "bacterial SSU rRNA". It matches the Rfam family "Bacterial small subunit ribosomal RNA", at positions 337 to 639 of the family's 1533-position model. The record is from RNAcentral.
UCCUACGGGACGCAGCAGUGAGGAAUAUUGGUCAAUGGGAGAGAUCCUGAACCAGCCAAGCCGCGUGAGGGAAGACGGCCCUAUGGGUUGUAAACCUCUUUUGUCGGAGAACAAAACCCGGGACGUGUCCCGGACUGCGUGUAUCCGAAGAAAGAGCAUCGGCUAACUCCGUGCCAGCAGCCGCGGUAAUACGUAGGUGGCGAGCGUUAUCCGGAAUGAUUGGGCGUAAAGGGUGCGCAGGCGGUCCUGCAAGUCUGGAGUGAAACGCAUGAGCUCAACUCAUGCAUGGCUUUGGAAACUGGAGG